CUGGGCAGCUGUUUUUGAUGCUUAAGUAAAUAACACCUUAUGAUUCAUGAAGGUUGGGGAAGAGGGAAAGACCUUAUAAAAGUUGCUACUUUACAUCUGAGUCUGCGAAAGAUGUAAACUCACCAAGAUGCUAUAACACAGUUUGAAGGUGAAAUGUUUAUGUCUGGGCGCGCAUGGCGUGGUUCUGCCGUUGUUUCAUUCGUCAGACACUUACUGAGCAUUUAAACUAUGCUUGCCCAUGUAUGCAGAGAGACACAGAGAAAUGCUUUAUUGCUCUUGUCCUCCAUGAAUUCUCACUCUAGGGAGGGGGGCAGAUGUAUAAACAGAUAAUUGCAAUACAGUGAGCUAAGUGCUAACAGAAGGAUAAAAGGAAGGCUAUAAUGGUAUGAGGAGUAUAUCCAUUUACAGUGAAAAUGGAGAGGAGGGAACAGUGUCACAGAGGAAGUGAUAUUUGAGCAGGAUGCGAUGAAAGAGGAGGCAUUUUGAAAGCAGUUGCCUUCUUUUGGCUUCUCCUAUUCUUGAGCCAACUCUUGACCCCAGGGCUUUUGCACAGUCAUUUCCCUCUGCCUGGAAAGCUCCUCCCAUUCCUCUUCCCUGGUUCAGUCCUUUAGAUCCGGGGUCCCCCAUUACUUCCUUAGGCAAGUCUGACUUCUCUAAGUCACAUCCUUUCCAAGAGAAGAGCUCAGUCAUCAAGUACCUUUUCUUCAGAGCAGUCGUCACAGCUCUGCUUUGAUGUAAUUGGCGUGAUUAUUUGAAUGAUAUCUUUCUCCCACUCCACAAAGACUGUCGUUUUGUUCAGCUUUGCUUCUUGACUAAAUUUCUAAGAUCUUCCUCUCAAUUAUAAUAGUAUCAUUAGAUGGUUAAAUUUGUAGAUGAAUGCUAAAAUACUUAAAAAUUUUUUGUUUGUGGUUUUAGAGCUUAAAUAGAUAUAAUUUAAAAAUUGUGAUUAAAAUAUAACUUAUAUACAGGAAAACAUACAGUAUAUAAACAUACCUGGCCCAAAGUGAAAAUGUGUUUACCGCCCACCCAAGUCAGGAAAUAGGUCUGGGGGCUCCCAUUGUGGCUUAGUAUAAGUUAACGAACCCGACUAGUAUCCAUGAGGAUGUGGGUUCAAUCCCUGGCCUUGCUCAGUGGGUUAAGGAUCCGGUGUUUCCAUGAGCUGUGGUGUAGGUCACAGACUCAGGUCAGAUCUGGUGUUGGUGUGGCUGUGGUGUAGGCUGGCGGCUACAGCUCCAAUUAGACCCCUAGCCUGGGAACCUCCAUGUGCCGCAGGUGUAGCCCUAAAAAGACAAAAGACCACAAAAAAAAAAAAAAAAAAAAGUCUGCAUCUAGGAGCCUGAUUUAGGAAAAUCAGUGUGUGUGCUGUGUCAGAAGUAUGAAGGGUGAGAUAGAAGAUUGCUUGCCAGAUUCUAAGAAUGCAAGCUUCUUGGAGAAAGAAGUGUUUUUAUCAGGCUUCUAGGCUACUCAUGAACUUGAAAAAGUGCCAUGUGAGAAAUAGAAACCCUAUCAUCCCCUCACAUUUUCCCAAGCAGGGCUGGAGUGCUGAGUGGGGGGUGAGCCUCAGAGGGGACAGCUUGGGUAUUUUCAAAGAAACCUUAGCUCCUGGCUCACUCCUUACCGAGAACCCUGCUUCCUUAGCACGUUCACUGAUAUGGAGCUCAGGGCUGAGCUGACAUCUUGUCACCCCAGCAUUGUACAGGGAGCGUGUUGACUCAACCAGCUUCAAGCUCACAGGUGACUUUGGGGUCACCUAUAAAAGAGUUGUGCUAGAGUACAUGGGUCUAAGUGCCUGCUCUGUCACUUAUUAACUAGGUGUUCUCUAAUCAUUUUUAGUUCUUUGCUGUAUCUGGUGCCUGAUUUAUUACAUGGGGAUGAUAAUGUUAUGUACUGCACGGAGUUUUGAGAUUUGAUACAUUCUUACAUGUAAAGUGCUUUUAACACAACCCAGCCUGAAGAAAGCUCUCAAUAUAAAAGGCUUUGUAGUUGAAAAGACCUUCUUGUUUUUGCCUUAGAAUAAUGUGGGCUUUGUUAAGGGGCGACCAAAGUCAUUUGAGGAUUUUUGAGAGAGAAGGUAGAAGGAGAGUCAAUAUUAUAAUUUUUGUAAAAGACAAUGUAUGAAAGUAACAACUGCCUUUGUAAAUGAUACUCAAAACAGGAUGAUUUUCUAGACCAGGGCUUCUGCAUAAAAAUGGAGUCACAGGUGUGGGUGGAAUGCAUCUUAGGAAGAAACAGGCAGAAUACAUGUUAAAAAGGAACAUCAAUAUGCUCUUCAAGAUUAUAAGCCAACAUUGGCGUUGUCGUUGGGGGUGGGAUGCCGUAAGGAAACGAUAAGAAUGGUGAUGAUGGUAAGAAUGAUGUGUAAUCAACAACCACCGUAGAAGGCAUACCUGUAAUUCUUAGCAGAAAUAUCAGGGGAAAGAGAUGAAUAGGAGUGACUCAGAGACUGAAACUGAAUUCAGGUUAUGGCUGGAGAAUAAGGGAAUUCAAAAUUAGCCUAGAGAGGCAAAGCAAUGAUUGGGAUAGCAGCACUGAAACGGAAGUACUGCUUAGAUAGGGUAAUGGCAAGACAGCAGAUAGAAAGAGCAUAUAAACAGGUUUGUGUGUGUAUGUAUAUAUCUCUCUGUCAUAUCAGGUACCAUGUUCAGAGAUUUCCAAUAUCGCUAUUCUGAAGACAAUUUUUAGAACUUAAUAUCAUUAGCCCCAUUUCACAGACGGGGAUACUGAGGCCAAAAACUUAAGCAUCUUGACAACAUGUCCAACACCAUGUAGACAUUGAGCAGUAGAACUGCGGUUGAGACCUAAUGAUGUCUGAAUGUACACCUGAGUCCCGUCAAACUCUAGUAUAUCCAUUCUCUUGUAUUUAUUAAGGAGAUAGGUGUCUGUAUUUAAAAACAAAACAACACCUGUCCAAUUGAAGGUAGAAGCACUAAGAACAACAUUUGGAAAAGAUUAAAGGGGUGAGAGAAAGAAGUGAUAUUACUCCGGUUCUGUAUCACAGAGUGCCAGGUCAGACAGAGGGGGUUUUAUGAUAUUUUUUCGAAGCUUGAGUUACAGAAUUAACAAGGGAGGUGAGACUUCAAAUGUCCAGACCUUGCAGUGAAUUUUGUUUUGGCUCAGAACACCAUGUGGUAAAAUCUAGACUUGCCUGUCGAACAAUUUUAAUCCUUCAAGGGUUAAAAAAAUAACCAAGGAAGCUAGAACACAAAGUUUAACUUCACAAGUGAAGAACAUUCAAAAUUGUUCUGGGAAGUGGCGGAAACCUGGGCAAAAGUCACAUUAUUUCAAAGCUCAGGGAACGAUGAGUUGGUAGUACAGUUUUUAUCUGUGCUUGAGAUGCCGAAUGGCUAAGAAGGUUUCUGUUGAAUAUCGAUUUUGAGACCCAUUAGGGAAUUUAGGUUUCUGGAGGUGUUGGGGUGGCAAGAUGGCUUCAUGUGUACUAAGUCUGCUCUAGCCUCUAAGAGUGAGAGUCCAUCUACAGAAUACAUUUGCAAUAUAUCAAGCUUUUUAUUAGCUAAAAUGUUAAGGUAUUCUGUUCAUAUGACAAGUCAGGGCUUUCCCACUCAAUGCUUAUGCAGUUCAUUUUAAAAAAUCUUAAAUGAAGGAUUUUGUUUGUUUCUACUAAACUCUGAUGUGAGCUGGUACCCACUGCUUCCUCUUGUCAAGAUUUAAUUCAGUGGGUAUGUGUGUAAAGGCCCUGGUGUGCAGAACUCUUGUGCUGAAUGAUGUAGGGAGAUGAUUGAUGCAAGAGUCUCAGGUUGGGGGUUAGCGAUGACUUUAAAAAAAACCAACAAAAACAAAUGUCUGUUAAAAGUUUUCCCUGUUAGAAGAGGGAGAGAAUACAUUCAGUUGUGUGCAGUCAGAAAAGAUAACCAGAUAACCUCUACACUGAGAAGACAAUGGUUACAUUCUGUCUUCCUGCCCUAGAAGCCAAUACAGUGCCAGGUGCACAAUCAAUCGAAAGCGGCACGUAAUAGGUGAUAAACGUUUUGUUAGGGAAACUUAAAAAAUGGGUCUUGAAGGAAAAACAGAUUUUGAUGGUUCAGAAAGGGAUGGAUGGGAAUACAUGGUAGUUGAAGGGCAAAUGUAGGUAAAUACACAGCUCCAAGUCAUAAUGAGCUUUUCGGUAAAGGUGAAUUGGUUAGUUUUUGUGGUAUAUGGGGGUAUAUUUUGGAAACUUCAAUGCUUAACAUAUUUAUAAGUCCAUUAUUUUCAAUAUCUUAUGCCAUUCAAGUCAUUAAAACAAAUAUUGUGAACAGAUCACUGACUUAAAGAUACUCUUAAAUCUUUAGAUUUUCAAUCUGAUAUUUUCAGAUCUAUUUAAAAUACUCACUAUACCACGUGCUUUCACCUGGAAUUGUUUCCCUUCUGCCUUAAAAGCUCCUUUGAGAAUUUCUUCAGUUCAGGUCUCCUGGUGAUAAGAUUCCUCAGAUGGUAUAUAAAGGACUUUAUAUUGUCUCUUUUUUGCAGGGUGUUUUCAUUGGGUACAGAAUUCUUGGAAAUUACUUUCAGUGCAUUAAAAAUAGCAUGUCUGAUAUUGUGUCUUCUGGCUGCCCUGAUUCUUUAGUCUUAUUUUUGCCAUUCAAAAACAGUCUCCUCUGUUAACUCUCUACCUCUGCCAACCUUUCAGCUUUAAUAAUGUUCACUAUGUGUUUCUGCAGUUUUAAGGUUUUGGUUUUUUUGUCUUUGGUUUUCAGCAGUUUUUCUAUAAUGGUCUAGGUAUGAAUUUCCUUGGGUUUACCUAACUCAAUGUGUGGCACUUCUUGAACCUUUGGCUUUGUUGUUGUUUAAAAAUAAAUUUUGGAAAAUUCCAGUCAUUGUCUUCAGAUAAUGCUUUUAGCCCAUUUUCUUCUGUCAUCUGCUAUUCUAAUUACAUGUAUAUUAACUUGGGUUUCAUAUGUUGCCUUUCCAGUUUUUUUCUUGAUGCUUUAAUCUGGAUACUUCCUCUUCACGUAGCAUCCACUUCACUUUAUCCAUUCAGGUAUACAUGGUAAGCUGUUAAACCCAUAUAUUGAAUACUUUCUUACAGUGUUUCUAUUUUAAAUUAGGUCUUUUUGAUUCACUUCACCCUGAAAUUCUUUGGAUGAUUCAUUAAACAUACUAAUCAGUUAUUCUAAAGUCAUCUGAUAACUACAAUGCCUGAAUUUCCUGUGGGUCUGUUUCUAUUGUUUCUUUGCCCUUCUUAAAUUUUUGGUUAGUUCUUAGUUUUAUAAGCGUGACUAUUUUAGAUGAAUGCUGGGCACUGCAUCUUAAAAGCAUAGCGAUGAUACUGAGCUCUGGGUGAUACCUUCUUCUGUUUACUUUUCUUCCUGGAGGUGGGCAGGGUGAAGACAGAACACCUAGAUACAUGUGGGAAUUAAGUUCUUCCAAAGGUAGCCUUGAGUCUGCAUGAGGGCUGCUGGGUUUCUGGUCUAUUAUGUGUACUGCUUUGAUUUAGCCCUUGGGAAUCCCAGCUGAAGGUCUGGGUAGUUACCCGGGCCCCUUUUCCCUAGCUGGCCAUGAACCAGACCAUCUUUGUGACUAGAUUUAGAUCAGGUGGUUUACUCCUGGAUGUUUUUUGAUACCUUGAUACCGUGUUGCUGUAAUUUCAAGUGACAGCUUGCCAUUAAGUUACUAAUUUUUUUUUCCCUGGCCUGAAUAAAAACAUCACAAUGUCUUACGUUUGCAUUUAAAGACACUUUCCAAGUUUUUCUUAAAUCAUUUAAUCAUCUCAAUAGCCGUCUGAUGAUCCGCAUUCCAUUGAAGUUCUUUCUGGAGACUUACCUGCAGUUGUAAUUGGUGAAUACAUGGGCUCUUUAUUCAUUUAUCUCCUGUCUGUGAAAUGAAUAUUGUGAAAAAUGCAGAUGGGAAGAAGAGGGGGGUACUUGAAAGGAAUUGAGAAGAUUGGAAUUUUAAAGGACUUGGAGACCCAUUGAUAAUGGAAUGAGGAGGGAGUGGUCAUUUUGCUGCAUAAACUGAGACAAUGGUGUU
Molecule: long non-coding RNA, 5967 nt
Filed under: Sus scrofa (pig)
Lineage: Eukaryota; Metazoa; Chordata; Mammalia; Artiodactyla; Suidae
Description: lncRNA (ENSSSCG00050031051.1)
Source: RNAcentral